RNAcentral lists this ribosomal RNA (743 nucleotides) under Staphylococcus pseudintermedius. RNAcentral's name for it is "partial 23S ribosomal RNA". It matches the Rfam family "Bacterial large subunit ribosomal RNA", at positions 1610 to 2354 of the family's 2925-position model. Lineage: Bacteria; Bacillati; Bacillota; Bacilli; Caryophanales; Staphylococcaceae. The record is from RNAcentral.
GAGAAAAGCCUCUAGCUAGAAUAACGGUGCCCGUACCGCAAACCGACACAGGUAGUCAAGAUGAGAAUUCUAAGGUGAGCGAGCGAACUCUCGUUAAGGAACUCGGCAAAAUGACCCCGUAACUUCGGGAGAAGGGGUGCUCUUUGAGGUUCACGCUUCGAAGAGCCGCAGUGAAUAGGCCCAAGCGACUGUUUAUCAAAAACACAGGUCUCUGCUAAACCGUAAGGUGACGUAUAGGGGCUGACGCCUGCCCGGUGCUGGAAGGUUAAGAGGAGUGGUUAGCGCAAGCGAAGCUACGAAUCGAAGCCCCAGUAAACGGCGGCCGUAACUAUAACGGUCCUAAGGUAGCGAAAUUCCUUGUCGGGUAAGUUCCGACCCGCACGAAAGGCGUAACGAUUUGGGCACUGUCUCAACGAGAGACUCGGUGAAAUCAUAGUACCGGUGAAGAUGCCGGUUACCCGCGACAGGACGGAAAGACCCCGUGGAGCUUUACUGUAGCCUGAUAUUGAAAUUCGGUACAGUUUGUACAGGAUAGGUAGGAGCCUUAGAAGCGUGAGCGCUAGCUUACGUGGAGGCAUUGGUGGGAUACUACCCUAAUUGUAUUGGAUUUCUAACCCGCAGCACUUAUCGUGCUGGGAGACAGUGUCAGGCGGGCAGUUUGACUGGGGCGGUCGCCUCCUAAAGAGUAACGGAGGCGCUCAAAGGUUCCCUCAGAAUGGUUGGAAAUCAUUCAUAGAGUGUAA